AGCUGAAUAUGGCCUGAUGUCACAAAUGUCUGAGAACUGAACAGAAAGCCCCUAUUACCAGUCUCAUUCUUUAACUACAAGAACAUCCACUUUACCUGGAAAAUGUAUCCUCUUUCGUAUAAUUUGCCAAAUGUGUCCUAUUCCAAAGAGAAUGUUUUUUUGGGGAGAGAGAAAAAAAAAGAAGGUGUAUCAGUAUUACUUAAUCUUCUUCCUUUCAUCUGGAUGUUCUCAAGUCAUUGAUAUUGCAUAGGCUGCAAUAGAACAAACAAAUCAGUCAUGGCAUGGCAUUGUUGCUGGCUCAGCGUCUCUCAAGCCAACGAUAAGUUAUGGUUUUUCCCUACUUUUAAACCAAUGUGAUUCUUCCUAGUGGGAGAAGAACCAUCAGUCUUGAUAAUGUCAGUGUGGGUGGAGAGAGUGCCAUCCUUCCCUCUCCAAAUACCUCCAUACACCUAUAGAAAAGCUCAAUACUAAGAAGUGUUUUCUCCUCUGUGCUGGGAUCCUUUCUUGCAGGGCAAUCAAUCAAUAAAUAAUAGUACUGGAAUUGCAUAAUAUAAUGAAGCAGGAGAAAAGAAGCAAAGAGGGCAAACUGAGGCUUUAUUUUCAAGCCAGGAAAUCAAAGUCUCUGCCAAGCCAUGUUCUGCAGCAGGACCCUAGCUUUUGUCUACAAUGCUAAGUGGCUACUGCAUAAUACUGCUGCUGGUGCUAAUCCAGUGAAAUUUUUUUUUCUUUUUUUUUGGGUGAGAUUUCCCAUAUUGUUCUGGUGAGCUCUGACUGUCUGAGAACUGUACACUCCUCUCUGCUUCCCAGCUAGAGAGUGAGUCUCUCCUGUGUGGUCUGAAACAUAAGGCAUGUGUUUGUGGACCUCUCCUUCUGCAGACCCAACCAAAAUGCUCCUGCACUCUCUUGUUCCACAGCUCCACAGUCGCAUGUGCUGCUGGAGAGUUGGAUUUGAAAGCAAUUGAAACACACACCUGCCCCUUCAUCCAUCAGAAACUGGAGAAAACUUUAUUCAAAAUCUUCUCUGAUGAUUCAAAGCUGCUGAUGAGACAUCUUCUAUGGAUAAGGACUACCAGAAUCACAUAAUUGUUUAAGCUGGGAAAGAAGUCUGAGAUCUCUGAGUAAAUCCAUUAACCUAUCACUGACAACUCCACCACUAAAGCAUGUCCCCAUUAGAGUGUAGGAUUGACAUGCUACAUCUGAAUUCUCUUCCUUCACUAUCUAAUGCAAGACACAAAAAGUCCUAAGAGAACACUACAAUGGGUUUUCCCAUAAGUUGUGCCUGUGUUUUUCUGAAGUUAAUCUCUUUGCUUAGGCUAGGUUGACUGUGCAUUGAACAAAAAAUGCAAAAUCAUUGUCUCCUCCAACACACUGGAAAAUACUGUUGCUAAUCAUCUUGAAACAAGCUGUGACUGGCUGAGACAGACAAAUAAAACAUAAUUUUAAAAGCA
Molecule: long non-coding RNA, 1448 nt
Filed under: Junco hyemalis (dark-eyed junco)
Lineage: Eukaryota; Metazoa; Chordata; Aves; Passeriformes; Passerellidae
Description: lncRNA (ENSJHYG00000016587.1)
Source: RNAcentral